AAUCUCCCACCCCUAGCGGUUGCCGCAAGGCGCCGCCGGGCGGCGGGGUUGGUUGGGUGCCGCUGCCUGGGCUUUGGCCCAGGCUCGCCCGAAAUGCAUGAGCGCUUAGCACUCGCACCGUCUCGAGGGAAGGCGGCGGAGCUGGCAUCUGCGCAUGGCAUGAUACGUCAUUUGCUGUGUGGCAGCCCAGCGACCCGAGAGUGUGUGCGCUACUACACGCCCUUUCAU
This 228-nucleotide unclassified non-coding RNA is filed under the name uncultured Basidiomycota. Its description in RNAcentral is "sequence contains ITS2". Lineage: Eukaryota; Fungi; Basidiomycota. RNAcentral also lists the same sequence under 1 other name. The record is from RNAcentral.